Molecule: ribosomal RNA, 600 nt
Filed under: uncultured bacterium
Lineage: Bacteria
Description: bacterial SSU rRNA
Rfam family: Bacterial small subunit ribosomal RNA
Source: RNAcentral
CCUACGGGAGGCAGCAGUGGGGAAUUUUGGACAAUGGGCGCAAGCCUGAUCCAGCAAUGCCGCGUGAGUGAAGAAGGCCUUCGGGUUGUAAAGCUCUUUUGUCAGGGAAGAAACGGUGGGAGCUAAUAUCUCCCGCUAAUGACGGUACCUGAAGAAUAAGCACCGGCUAACUACGUGCCAGCAGCCGCGGUAAUACGUAGGGUGCAAGCGUUAAUCGGAAUUACUGGGCGUAAAGCGUGCGCAGGCGGUUUUGUAAGUCUGUCGUGAAAGCCCCGGGCUCAACCUGGGAAUUGCGAUGGAGACUGCAAGGCUUGAAUCUGGCAGAGGGGGGUAGAAUUCCACGUGUAGCAGUGAAAUGCGUAGAGAUGUGGAGGAACACCGAUGGCGAAGGCAGCCCCCUGGGUCAAGAUUGACGCUCAUGCACGAAAGCGUGGGGAGCAAACAGGAUUAGAUACCCUGGUAGUCCACGCCCUAAACGAUGUCUACUAGUGUCGGGUUUUAAUUAACUUGGUAACGCAGCUAACGCGUGAGUAGACCGCCUGGGAGUACGUCGCAGNUUAAACNAAAGAUUGAGNGNGNGNGNGCGAGNGNAGAGGAGAG